UAGCGUUGCUCGGAAUCACUGGGCGUAAAGCGCACGUAGGCGGACUCUUAAGUCGGGGGUGAAAUCCUGGAGCUCAACUCCAGAACUGCCUUCGAUACUGAGAGCCUUGAGUCCGGGAGAGGUGAGUGGAACUGCGAGUGUAGAGGUGAAAUUCGUAGAUAUUCGCAAGAACACCAGUGGCGAAGGCGGCUCACUGGCCCGGUACUGACGCUGAGGUGCGAAAGCGUGGGGAGC
RNAcentral lists this ribosomal RNA (234 nucleotides) under uncultured bacterium. RNAcentral describes it as "partial 16S ribosomal RNA". It matches the Rfam family "Bacterial small subunit ribosomal RNA", at positions 536 to 769 of the family's 1533-position model. The record is from RNAcentral.